RNAcentral lists this long non-coding RNA (394 nucleotides) under Rhagoletis pomonella (apple maggot). RNAcentral describes it as "uncharacterized LOC118755576". Lineage: Eukaryota; Metazoa; Arthropoda; Insecta; Diptera; Tephritidae. The record is from RNAcentral.
CCAUUUUAAUGUAAAGAAUUUGUUUUCUUCUUUUUCAGGCAACAGCUGACGCAAUACAACCCAUAUAUUUAAAUAAUAAACAAAUUUGCGACGAUAUUAUUAGAAAGUGCUCGCCUUCACGCCGUUUGGAAUCAAGAGAACUAGCAAGAAUACUUAUAAAUCCGCAUAUCAGGGAGUCAGCGUAAAACUGUUAGUCCUUCCGUUUUCUGUGACAACACAAAGGCGUACGCCGCAAAUUGGAGAAGAAGCUCGGCUAAACACUAACAUAUUGCGUAAGCGCCAAUCUAUUAUUAUUAUCUGAAUGUUAUCUUAAACACAUUGGCGCGUAUUCAUAGUCCAGCUACUAAGACGAAACUAAUAAAGAUGCAACUUAAAUUUAAGUACCAACUUAAAA